UUCUUCAACUCGGUUUCUGCAUCUUCCCUUUGCAUGGAUGCCUCUGUGCUGUUCCAUCUGGCCAGCACGGGAGCCCGAACCAGAUGCUCCUGCAAACUUCUAGCAGCCGCAACAUGAUUUUUGUAUGAAACAGCCUGUUAAAUUAAAAGAUAAUAUAUUUUAAAGAUGAAAAAAUAAAAAUAAAAAGAGUUGUAGGGGCAGGAUUAGGGAGAAUAAACAGGAGAAUAUCUUUAGGCAUUCUAUACUAAUCAUAUAAUUCUAUUUUGCUGCAUGUAAUACUUGAAUUCAAAAUCCAAAACCAAAAGGCAACACGAAACAAUACAACAAUGUCAAAUGUCUAUCUAAAACCGAUAAUAUCUUGAAUCACAACGCAAUAAGCAUGACUCCAGCCCUUCAAACAUUGAGCAACCGUGCCACAGAGCAUAGAUAAAAUUCAAGCCCAGCAGAUAUCUUUCAUCAACAAUAAAAACUUAUCAAACAAAGCAAUUGGGUCAGUACAGUUCUCGAGAUGAAUGAGAAAGAGCAUAAUCUUGUUAAAAGUACUGAUUCUCAUGGUGUAUACACCAAUUCAAACUGUGCUGAAUUAUUCUAAGUACCCUGAAUAAGUUUCCUAUCUCAAAACUAUUACAUCAAUGCAACUCCAAAAUUAAUUCAAAAAACAAUACCCCAAAAUGGAAAAGGAAAAAAAAUGAAAAAGUUAAUUCAAAAUUAUGGUUGUAAUAGAAUUAUCAUAAUAAAACCUUUACAAUCAGUUAAGAAUUUAGAACAGAAAAAAGGGAAAAUCAAAAGAAAAGUCCUGAGAGAAAAGGCAAUGAUAAUCCAUGAUGAUGAACUAUAUGCGCUAGUCAACAAAGCAAGAAACAGAAAAUUCUGGAGUAAAUAACAAGCGGAUUCAACAGAAAACAAAUAAAAAAGACACCAUUUGAAAGAAAAUGAACUGGGUAUUCCUGGGAAUGGAUCAAAAAGAAUAAAAAAAUAAAACACAACCCAUGAAGAUGAACUGCUUUAUGCAAAGCAAGAAACACAAAAUUUUGGAGUAAAUAAUAAAUGGGUUCAUGAGAAAACACAUGAAAAACACAUCACUUGAAGAAACAUGAACUGGGUAUUCCUCAGAAUGGAUCAAAACAGAAGCCUUAGAAUUAAUAAAUAAAUAAACACAACCCCAUGAUGAUGAAAUGCUUUAUGCAACCACCAAAGCAAGAAACACAAAAUUUUGGAGUGAAUAAUAAAUGGGUUCAUGAGAAAACACAUGAAAAGGACAUCACUUGAAGAACGAUGAAUUGGAUAAUCCUGAGAAUGGAUCAAAACAGCAAUCUCAGAAUAAUAAAAAAAGCACAACCCAUGAUGAAUAAUUGAUUUAUGCAAUAACCAAAGAAAGAAACAAAAAAAAUAGAGAAAAUAACAAGUGGGUUCAUCAGAUAACACAUGAAAACGACAUCACUUGAAGAAAGUUGAACUGGGUGUUCCUCAGAAUGGAUCAAAACAGCAAUCUCUGAAUAAAAAAUAAGCACAACCCAUGAUGAUCAACUGAUUUAUGCAACAACCAAAGCAGGAAACACAAAAUUCUGAAGAAAAUAACAAAUGGGCUCAUCAGAAAACACAUGAAAAAGACAUCAUUUAAGGAAAAAAUAAACAGGAUGAUAAAAAAAAAAUAGUGUAGAAACCUGAGUGUUCCUGAGAGUGGAUCUAACGAGGUUUCUAAAAAUCAUUUUCUAUUUUUUCCCUUAUCUUCAAAGAUGAUGCAAGUUGCUAUCUUCACUCUCCUCGGUCUGCACUCAACUACAGAAGAGACAGAGGAAUAGAG
This 1804-nucleotide long non-coding RNA is filed under the name Vitis vinifera (wine grape). RNAcentral describes it as "long non-coding RNA (VVIN_LNC000884)". The record is from RNAcentral. Lineage: Eukaryota; Viridiplantae; Streptophyta; Magnoliopsida; Vitales; Vitaceae.